AUAGUCUAAGUUUAAUUAGGCUAUAUAUUUGUUGGGGGUCCUUCAAUACCAACUCCUCUAAUGAGAAACCCAAUGAAUUGAGUUUACCAUUGAUUAUAUUCCACCACUCUAAGCUUUGGACCUCAACUAAGGCCCUAUGCAUUAUAACUCUGUUAGAAAAGA
Sphaerodactylus townsendi is the source of this 162-nucleotide long non-coding RNA. RefSeq lists it as uncharacterized. The transcript is spliced from 3 exons. Lineage: Eukaryota; Metazoa; Chordata; Lepidosauria; Squamata; Sphaerodactylidae. The record is from RefSeq and is a predicted model, not a curated record.